RNAcentral lists this ribosomal RNA (286 nucleotides) under uncultured bacterium. Its description in RNAcentral is "partial 16S ribosomal RNA". It matches the Rfam family "Bacterial small subunit ribosomal RNA", at positions 335 to 639 of the family's 1533-position model. The record is from RNAcentral.
GGCCUACGGGGGGCAGCAGUGGGGAAUAUUGCACAAUGGGGGAAACCCUGAUGCAGCGACGCCGCGUGAAGGACGAAGUAUUUCGGAACGUAAACUUCUAUCAGCAGGGAAGAAAAUGACGGUACCUGACCAAGAAGCCCCGGCUAACUACGUUCCAGCCGCCGCGGGAAUACGUAGGGGGCAAGCGUUAUCCGGAUUUACUGGGUGGAAAGGGAGCGGAGACGGCCGUGCAAGUCUGAUGUGUAAACCCGGGGCUCAAACCCGGGACUGCAUUGGAAACUGCAUG